AUGGGGCAUCCCAGAGCGUCUCUGGGGUUAAUCCUGGGCUCUGUGGGCUCAAUUCUGGGGUUGAUCCUGGGGUUAAUCCUAAAAUUGAUCCUGGUUUCCCUGGGGUUGAUCCUGGGCUCAAUCCUGGCCUUUCUGGGGUUGAUCCUAGGGUUGAUCCUGGGUUCUCUGGGGUUAAUCCUGGGCUCAGUCCUGAGCUCCAUCCUGGGGCUCUCUGGGGUUGAUCCUGGGCUCAAUCCCUGGCUCAGUCUUGGAGUUGAUCCUGGGCUUGGCUCAAUCCUGGAGUUGAUCCUGGCCUUUCUGGGCUCAAUCCUGGUCUCUGGGGUUGAUCCUGGGUUCCCUGGGGUCAAUCCCGAUCUCCCUGGGCUGAUCCUGGGGUUGGUCCUGGGGCUCUCUGGAGCUGAUCCUGGGCUUAGUCCUGGGGUUGAUCCUGGUCUCCAUCCUGGCCUUUCUGGGCUUCAUCCUGGGGUUAAUCCCGAUCUCCCUGGGGUUUAUCCCGAUCUCCCUGGGGUUUAUCCUCAGUUCCCUGGGGUUAAUCCUGAUCUCCCUGGGGCUGAUCCUGGGGUUGAUCCUGGGCUUAAUCCCUGGUUCCAUCCUGGUCUGGCUGGGCUCAGUCCUGGGGUUGAUCCUGGUCUCCCUGGGGUUCAUCCUAGUCUCAAUCCUGGCCUUUCUGGGCUCGAUCCUGGGUUAAUCCUGGGAUCCCUGGGGUUAAUCUCGAUCUCCCUGAGCUCAAUCCUGGUCACUGUGGUUGAUCCUGGGUUCUCUGGGGUUGAUCCUGGGUUCCAAGUGGUUAAUCCCAAUCUCUCUGGGGCUCAUCCUGGGAUCCCUGGGGUUAAUCCUGGGGUUGGUCCUGGGUUCUCUGGAGUUAAUCCUGGGCUCAAUCCUGGCCUCUCUGGGCUUGAUCCUUGGGUUGAUCCCCGGUUCCCUGGGGUUAAUCCUGAUCUCCCUGGGCUCAAUCCUGGAUUCCCUGGGGUUGAUCCUGGGUUCCAAGGGGUUAAUCCUGAUCUCCCUGGGGUUGAUCCUGGGCUCAAUCCCAAUCUCCCUGGGGUUGAUCCUCGGUUCCUUGGGGUUAGUCCUGGGUUCCCUGGGGGUAAUCCUGAUCUCCCUGGGCUCAAUCCUGGUCUCUGUGCUUGA
Molecule: long non-coding RNA, 1131 nt
Filed under: Serinus canaria (Common canary)
Lineage: Eukaryota; Metazoa; Chordata; Aves; Passeriformes; Fringillidae
Description: lncRNA (ENSSCAG00000001642.1)
Source: RNAcentral